CAAUAGCGUAUAUUAAAGUUGUUGCAGUUAAAAAGCUCGUAGUUGGAUUUCUGGUUGAAGCGACCGGUCGGGCGUUGAUUCGUCUGCACUGGAGUCGGUUUUGGCCAUCCUCUAGGAAAGUGCGUCUGGUAUUAAGUUAUCGGGCGUAUGAUCCUGGUCUUUUACUGUGAAAAAAUUAGAGUGUUUAAAGCAGGCCUUCGCCUUGAAUACAUUAGCAUGGAAUAAUAAGAUAGGACUUUGGUGCUAUUUUGUUGGUUGAGCCUAAAGUAAUGAUUAAUAGGGAUAGUUGGGGGCACCUGUAUUGCGUUGUCAGAGGUGAAAUUCUUGGAUUUACGCAAGACAAACAGCUGCGAAAGCGUCUGCCAAGGAUGUUUUCAUUAA
This 381-nucleotide ribosomal RNA is filed under the name uncultured eukaryote. RNAcentral describes it as "partial 18S ribosomal RNA". It matches the Rfam family "Eukaryotic small subunit ribosomal RNA", at positions 592 to 976 of the family's 1831-position model. The record is from RNAcentral.